RNAcentral lists this small nuclear RNA (310 nucleotides) under Chinchilla lanigera (long-tailed chinchilla). Its description in RNAcentral is "7SK RNA (ENSCLAG00000022190.1)". It matches the Rfam family "7SK RNA". From Rfam's summary of the family: 7SK was discovered as an abundant small nuclear RNA in the mid-70s but a possible function has only recently been suggested. Two independent studies have found that 7SK RNA binds the CDK9/cyclin T complex (known as elongation factor P-TEFb). The record is from Rfam by way of RNAcentral. Lineage: Eukaryota; Metazoa; Chordata; Mammalia; Rodentia; Chinchillidae.
GGAUGAGAGAGUGAUCUGGCUGUAACAUGUCACCCUGCUAAACUGCAGGGUUGAGUCAGCUGAUCUGGCUGGCUUGGCAGUUGUCUGCUUUCCCUCACUGAUCCGUGUGAGUCCCUCUCAAAGCUGCAUGCUUGGUCAAACAUGACAACCUUUCCCAAUCGGAGAUCAUUCUUCAGUCAAGGGCACAUGGGUAGCUGCAACCCCCCGCCCCCGCUGGAACCUCCAGUCAAGCUCUCGAGAUAUUGUGAAGGUAAAUGAGUUCACUUGUUCUUCUCCAUCCUCAUCAUUCCACCAGUCUGGACUGGCCUGA